GCCGAUGUAGCUCAGUUGGUAGAGCGGCUGUCUUGUAAACAGCGGGUCGGGGGUUCGAUUCCUCUCAUCGGCUCCA
This 76-nucleotide transfer RNA is filed under the name Candidatus Omnitrophota bacterium. Its description in RNAcentral is "tRNA-Thr". It matches the Rfam family "tRNA". Rfam says of the family: Transfer RNA (tRNA) molecules are approximately 80 nucleotides in length. Lineage: Bacteria; Pseudomonadati; Candidatus Omnitrophota. The record is from RNAcentral.